GAUGAACGCUAGCUACAGGCUUAACACAUGCAAGUCGAGGGGCAGCAGGGAUUUAGCUUGCUAAAUCCGCUGGCGACCGGCGCACGGGUGCGUAACGCGUAUCCAACUUUCCCGUUACUCAGGGAUAGCCUUCCGAAAGGGAGAUUAAUACGAGAUGGUGUUCUAAUUUCGCAUGUUAUUAGAACUAAAGAUUUAUCGGUAACGGAUAGGGAUGCGUGACAUUAGAUAGUUGGCGGGGUAACGGCCCACCAAGUCUACGAUGUCUAGGGGUUCUGAGAGGAAGGUCCCCCCACACUGGAACUGAGACACGGUCCAGACUCCUACGGGAGGCAGCAGUGAGGAAUAUUGGUCAAUGGCCGAGAGGCUGAACCAGCCAAGUAGCGUGAAGGAUGAAGGUUCUAUGGAUUGUAAACUUCUUUUAUACGGGAAUAACAUCACCUACGUGUAGGUGCCUGCAUGUACCGUAUGAAUAAGCAUCGGCUAACUCCGUGCCAGCAGCCG
Molecule: ribosomal RNA, 501 nt
Filed under: uncultured bacterium
Lineage: Bacteria
Description: bacterial SSU rRNA
Rfam family: Bacterial small subunit ribosomal RNA
Source: RNAcentral